UCCACAACCAGCUAGUUUUGUAGCUAAAUGAUACGGAACCCGAAAACCCACCACGAAACAACGCGUUUUUAUUUCAUUUGUUAGUAUUUAUUGAUACAUCAAACGACAUCAAUAAUCAACGUUUUGUUUACGGAUAACACGCGUGGUAACGUACCUCUAUCGAGGAUAACGUAGCUUUAAUUUGUAUUAUUAUUAUUUUUUUAACUGCACCAGCUUUAUGUGAGGACAAAGGCCUACACAUUACUCGCUGCUUCCAACGCAUGUAUCCCUCUUGGGGUAGUAACUAUGGUGGUGGUGGCGGCCAUCAACCACCUUCGCAGCAGAACUUCGGUGCGCCGAGGGGUCAGUCUCCUCAAGGCGAAGGUUUCGGGGGAGGAUUCGGGGGCUAUGGAGCUGUUACACCCGCAGCUACACCCGGGUCAACGUUCAACAGCCUGCGGGAACAGCAUCUCCAGCAGAUGCAGCAACUGCAACAACUCCACCAAAAACAGCUUCAAUCUGUGCUGCACCACGACAGGAACGUAAAUGAAAACCCCUAUGGAGGUGGUGGCGGUGGUCCUACGGCCGAGUCGUGGCAAGGCAACUCGGGAUAUGGGUAUGGUUCAACGGGGGCCGGUGCCCCUUCCUCUUACCGAGAUGAGUAUCAGUCCAUGGAAACCGGGGCGACCAGCCCACAACUUCAGCCGCCGCAGCCCAAAGAGACCCAGCUUCCCCCAUCAGAGGCGAACCCACCCCCAUCAGAGGCGAACCCACAGGAGCAGCAGCAGUAUUGGUACAAGCAGCAUCUCCAGAACUUGCAGAGGCUGAAAGCGGAGAAGGCUAAACAGGGCCAGGGCGAUGGCCCAGCAGCACCUCCACCUCCCAAACCCCAGCCUCACUCGGCGUCAGCCGCCCCUCCCCCUCCAUCGGAACCACCCAAGAACGCCCCUCCACCACCCCCACCCAAAGAGCAGCCCCCACCACCACCUCCACCUGAUGACGAAACGGUAAGGAGAAACCUGACUGUUUUACAUGUCUGAGGAUAGACUGUGAUUGGUAUUGUAG
This 1044-nucleotide long non-coding RNA is filed under the name Salmo trutta (river trout). Its description in RNAcentral is "lncRNA (ENSSTUG00000029070.1)". The record is from RNAcentral. Lineage: Eukaryota; Metazoa; Chordata; Actinopteri; Salmoniformes; Salmonidae.